This is a non-coding RNA of Pelobates cultripes (western spadefoot toad), 218 nucleotides long. The record is from the annotation of a GenBank genome assembly. NCBI's taxonomy places the organism in Eukaryota, Metazoa, Chordata, Amphibia, Anura, Pelobatidae.
CUUAUAUAGUACUCAUCUAUUUACUAGUUCUACCUGUAUACAUAUCUCCUCUAUUUCCAUUUUGACAAACUGCAGACAGCCAUUCUAGUCGAUUACCUAACACCCAUUGACAGAGCAUAAUCUUUAAGGAUAUACCUUCUGUUAUUAUUCCUACUAGGAAUAUAGCACGUUAUUAGAUCUUCUGUCAUCAAUGGCAUAGAUUUACUAGUAUCAUUUCA